CGGAAUCUGCCUAUUUGUGGGGGAUAACGUAGGGAAACUUACGCUAAUACCGCAUACGACCUACGGGUGAAAGCGGAGGACCUUCGGGCUUCGCGCAGAUAGAUGAGCCGAUGUCGGAUUAGCUAGUUGGCGGGGUAAAGGCCCACCAAGGCGACGAUCCGUAGCUGGUCUGAGAGGAUGAUCAGCCACACUGGAACUGAGACACGGUCCAGACUCCUACGGGAGGCAGCAGUGGGGAAUAUUGGACAAUGGGCGCAAGCCUGAUCCAGCCAUGCCGCGUGGGUGAAGAAGGCCUUCGGGUUGUAAAGCCCUUUUGUUGGGAAAGAAAAGCAGUCGGUUAAUACCCGAUUGUUCUGACGGUACCCAAAGAAUAAGCACCGGCUAACUUCGUGCCAGCAGCCGCGGUAAUACGAAGGGUGCAAGCGUUACUCGGAAUUACUGGGCGUAAAGCGUGCGUAGGUGGUUUGUUAAGUCUGAUGUGAAAGCCCUGGGCUCAACCUGGGAAUUGCAUUGGAUACUGGCAGGCUAGAGUGCGGUAGAGGGUAGUGGAAUCCCCGGU
This 559-nucleotide ribosomal RNA is filed under the name uncultured bacterium. RNAcentral's name for it is "bacterial SSU rRNA". It matches the Rfam family "Bacterial small subunit ribosomal RNA", at positions 119 to 674 of the family's 1533-position model. The record is from RNAcentral.